RNAcentral lists this ribosomal RNA (585 nucleotides) under uncultured bacterium. RNAcentral describes it as "partial 16S ribosomal RNA". It matches the Rfam family "Bacterial small subunit ribosomal RNA", at positions 355 to 1375 of the family's 1533-position model. The record is from RNAcentral.
UGGGGAAUUUUGGACAAUGGGCGAAAGCCUGAUCCAGCAAUGCCGCGUGUGUGAAGAAGGCCUUCGGGUUGUAAAGCACUUUUGUCCGGAAAGAAAUCCUUGGCUCUAAUACAGUCGGGGGAUGACGGUACCGGAAGAAUAAGCACCGGCUAACUACGUGCCAGCAGCCGCGGUAAUACGUAGGGUGCAAGCGUUAAUCGGAAUUACUGGGCGUAAAGCGUGCGCAGGCGGUUUGCUAAGACCGAUGUGAAAUCCCCGGGCUCAACCUGGGAACUGCAUUGGUGACUGGCAGGCUAGAGUAUGGCAGAGGGGGGUAGAAUUCCACGUGUAGCAGUGAAAUGCGUAGAGAUGUGGAGGAAUACCGAUGGCGAAGGCAGCCCCCUGGGCCAAUACUGACGCUCAUGCACGAAAGCGUGGGGAGCAAACAGGAUUAGAUACCCUGGUAGUCCACGCCCUAAACGAUGUCAACUAGUUGUUGGGGAUUCAUUUUCUCAGUAACGUAGCUAACGCGUGAAGUUGACCGCCUGGGGAGUACGGUCGCAAGAUUAAAACUCAAAGGAAUUGACGGGGUCAUAGCUGUUUCCU